CGGGAGGCAGCAGUAGGGAAUCUUCCACAAUGGACGCAAGUCUGAUGGAGCAACGCCGCGUGGAUGAAGAAGGUCUUCGGAUCGUAAAAUCCUGUUGUUGAAGAAGAACGGUUGUGAGAGUAACUGCUCAUAACGUGACGGUAAUCAACCAGAAAGUCACGGCUAACUACGUGCCAGCAGCCGCGGUAAUACGUAGGUGGCAAGCGUUGUCCGGAUUUAUUGGGCGUAAAGGGAGCGCAGGCGGUCUUUUAAGUCUGAAUGUGAAAGCCCUCAGCUUAACUGAGGAAGAGCAUCGGAAACUGAAAGACUUGAGUGCAGAAGAGGAGAGUGGAACUCCAUGUGUAGCGGUGAAAAUGCGUAGAUAUAUGGAAGAACACCAGUGGCGAAGGCGGCUCUCUGGUCUGUUACUGACGCUGAGGCUUCGAAAGCCAUGGGUAGCGAACCAGGAUUAGAUACCCUGGUAGUCCAUGCCGUAAAACGAUGAGUGCUAAAGUGUUGGGAGGUUUCCGCCUCUCAGUGCUGCAGCUAACGCAUUAAGCACUCCGCCUGGGGAGUACGACCGCAAGGUUGAAACUCAAAGGAAUUGACGGGGGCCCGCACAAGCGGUGGAGCAUGUGGUUUAAUUCGAAGCAACGCGAAGAACCUUACCAGGUCUUGACAUCUCCUGCAAGCCUAAGAGAUUAGGGGUUCCCUUCGGGGACAGGAAGACAGGUGGUGCAUGGUUGUCGUCAGCUCGUGUCGUGAGAUGUUGGGUUAAGUCCCGCAACGAGCGCAACCCUUGUUACUAGUUGCCAGCAUUAAGUUGGGCACUCUAGUGAGACUGCCGGUGACAAACCGGAGGAAGGUGGGGACGACGUCAAAUCAUCAUGCCCCUUAUGACCUGGGCUACACACGUGCUACAAUGGAUGGUACAAUGAGAAGCGAACUCGCGAGGGGAAGCUGAUCUCUGAAAACCAUUCUCAGUUCGGAUUGCAGGCUGCAACUCGCCUGCAUGAAGCUGGAAUCGCUAGUAAUCGCGGAUCAGCAUGCCGCGGUGAAUACGUUCCCGGGCCUUGUACA
This 1059-nucleotide ribosomal RNA is filed under the name Apilactobacillus kunkeei. RNAcentral's name for it is "bacterial SSU rRNA". It matches the Rfam family "Bacterial small subunit ribosomal RNA", at positions 342 to 1387 of the family's 1533-position model. Lineage: Bacteria; Bacillati; Bacillota; Bacilli; Lactobacillales; Lactobacillaceae. The record is from RNAcentral.